UGAGAUGAUACUCAAGGUCCCUUCCAAACCAAACCAAUUCCAUGGCAAAACACAAAACCUGCUGCCCAUCAGCUCCUCCUGCCCAAACCAUUCCAGGAUUCCAUGGCAAAACACAAAACCUGCUGCCCAUCAGCUCCUCCUGCCCAAAUCAUUCCAUGAUUCCACAGCAAAACACAAAAUCUGCUGCCCAUCAGCUCCUCCUGCCUUGGUGAUGCUCAGUGGCCAAAACUGAGCCUUGUCCCUUUUUCCCAAUUUUUUUUAUUCCCCAGGAGGAAAGGGUAUCUGGAGGGAGAUUCAAUGAUUUUCAGUGUUUGAAAGACCAGGAUCUUUAAGAGAAACAAACAGAAAACCAAACCGUGUCUUUUCCUUCCUUCUGUGCCAACGCCUUUAGAAAAGUUCUCUUACUUCAGGUGAAAUCCAAUUCUUUCCUCUGUAACGUUUUCUUGGAAUGCAUAAGGAAGAGCAGCUGCCUUGUCCCUGAGCCUGAAUCAGAACAGAACUUGAAGAUUUCCAGGCUCCUGAGUUACCCCUGGUCACAGCAGGCACAGGGACAGGGUAAUUUUGGGACUGUGCUGAGGAAGGUGCUGCCUCCAAUGUUCCCCAGGAGGGAGAUGCAGGAAAACAGCUGAUCCACAAAAAACGUGAUGGCAGGAAUGGCCCCAUCAGCCCAGCAGGAGGCUCAGGUGCAGUUAAUCCAGAUUUAAAGGUGGGAAUGGUUAAAGCAUCCUCUCCUGGAUGAAUCACCUCCUGGGGAGCUGGGGAAUGGCACCAUGGGCUAAAUAAAGGACCACGGGAGCAAAGUGACACAUUUCUACUGCCUGGGUUAUUUUCCCAAAUGACUGGGUUUAUGCCAAAGGAGGACGAGCGCAUUUUCUCAUUUCUCUCUCAUUUUCUUUCUUAGGGAGAAUGGGAAAGGUUCUUCUUCCACAAACUCCCUUUUAAAUUAAGUUUGCCGGGGUUUUGUUUUCUGUAGGAUUUCUGCAUCAUGUAGAAAUUGCGAGGGGGAGGAGGCUGGGAAAUGCACAAACAUCUGUAGUGACCCCAUAACCCUCCCUGUGGACACUCACAAGCCCAGGUCCUGUCCCAUCCCAAAAGGAUCCCAUUCAAGCCAGAGCUGGACCAUCCCUCACCACAGAACCAACCACUGCUGACAAAUUCCCAUUUUUCUGGAGAGCACACAUGGAUUGAAAGACCCCUGAUCUGCCCCCCACCCCCAAAAAAAAACCCAACCCACAAAUGAAAAGCCACAUCUACCCACUAACAGAGUCAAAAUCCUUUCAAAUGGUGAAGGCAACACACGCACAAAAAGAGGCUGCAGAGGUCAGAUUGAAGGUUUUGUUCUUUUUUUCCUUUUUUAUUACAAAAAAAAAAAAAAAAACCAACCCCAAAAAAAACCCCCUAUUCGGAAGAAGUCCAAAUGCAACGGAAUAUAACUGGCACCAUCUAAGAUACCCAAGUGUAAAAUCCCAGAAUCUCUGAACCUCCCAGCAGCAGCUGGGAGGGACAGGGCUGGCUGGGAGGGACAGGUGGCCUCUCCCUUCCCUUCUCCUAGCCCCCAUCAUCCUGGCUGGGUGGCACGCAGCCCGAGAGAGCCAGGACACAACAGUGGCAUCAACGGUCUCUGUAAAACCAUUCAGUCGGAGAAACUAAGAUUAUUAUGAAAAAAAAAAUCUAAAACUUCUCUUCUUUUUUUUCUUUUUUUUUUUUUUGUUUAACCUUUAUCCAAAGCCCUGCUUUAGUGACGUGCUAGCCCUGCUGGACAGGUGACACAGCCACAGCUCUGUCCAGAACGCUGUUGACCAGUCAACUCUUGGUUCAGGACACCUUCCUCCCACUCCGAGUGUGCCACGGCCACCUGAAUUACAGUAACAAAUGCUUCUGCAGGCUUCCUGCUCUGGGCACCCUCUCCUGCAAGCUCCACUCCACGCUGGAACAAAUCUCAUCCCAGUCUCCCUCCGAGCUCACCCUCAGUCCCACCUGCAUCCGACUGCAUCCGCAAGAGCUCUGCCCACUCCGGCUGGAUGAGGCGUUGGAACGUCAUCUCUUCAAGAAAAAAACACUUUCAUAUAUAAUUUUUUUUCUGUUUUUAUAUUUAAAUAGAAAAAUACUACUUCACUCUGUGUUAUGAGCCAGAGAUGGGUUGACUUCCAGUGACAGAACCAAGAGUUCUCCUCAAUGCCAGAAGAUUCCCAGAAACCUCAGAGUGGCCGGAGGGCGACGAUGUCCCCGUCACGUCCCCAUACAGGCAGGAGCACACGCACAGCUCCCGUCACCACAGCUCCCAUCUUCCCUUCUCCACAGAGAGGCACCAACCUCAGACAGCCAUCAGUCUGCAGAGAGCCAGCAGCAGGGCUGGCCCCCCAAAUCUGGCUCUGUUUCGAGCUUUCUCCUCUCCUACGGGUUUUCUGCAUGUGCAGUCUGUCCCUGGAAGCCACCGGAUCCCAUCGGAUGUACACA
Passer domesticus (house sparrow) is the source of this 2457-nucleotide long non-coding RNA. RefSeq lists it as uncharacterized. NCBI's taxonomy places the organism in Eukaryota, Metazoa, Chordata, Aves, Passeriformes, Passeridae. The record is from RefSeq and is a predicted model, not a curated record. The transcript has 2 exons.